AGCAGCCGCGGUAAUUCCAGCUCCAAUAGCGUAUAUUAAAGUUGUUGCAGUUAAAAAGCUCGUAGUUGAAUUUCGAGACCGGUCUACUGGUCGUGCUUUUGUACGUACUGGUUUUAUUGGUUUCUCCUUUCUGACGAACUAUAAUGCCAUUAAUUUGGUGUUAUGGGGAAUCAGGACUGUUACUUUGAAAAAAUUAGAGUGUUUAAAGCAGGCUCACGCUUGAAUACAUUAGCAUGGAAUAACGGAAUAGGACGUUUGAUUCUAUUUUGUUGGUUUCUAGGAUCGACGUAAUGAUUAAUAGGGAUAGUUGGGGGCAUUAGUAUUCAAUUGUCAGAGGUGAAAUUCUUGGAUUUAUUGAAGACUAACUACUGCGAAAGCAUUUGCCAAGGAUGUUUUCAUUAAUCAAGAACGAAAGUUAGGGGAUCGAAGACGAUCAGAUACCGUCGUAGUCUUAACCAUAAACUAUGCCGACUAGGGAUCGGAUGAUGUUAAUUUUUAAUGACUCAUUCGGCGCCUUACG
RNAcentral lists this ribosomal RNA (520 nucleotides) under uncultured Glomus. RNAcentral describes it as "SSU rRNA". It matches the Rfam family "Eukaryotic small subunit ribosomal RNA", at positions 569 to 1092 of the family's 1831-position model. The record is from RNAcentral. RNAcentral also lists the same sequence under 1 other name. Lineage: Eukaryota; Fungi; Glomeromycota; Glomeromycetes; Glomerales; Glomeraceae.